This 253-nucleotide ribosomal RNA is filed under the name uncultured bacterium. RNAcentral's name for it is "partial 16S ribosomal RNA". It matches the Rfam family "Bacterial small subunit ribosomal RNA", at positions 524 to 776 of the family's 1533-position model. The record is from RNAcentral.
UACGGAGGGUGCAAGCGUUAAUCGGAAUUACUGGGCGUAAAGCGCACGUAGGUGGUUUGUUAAGCUAGCUGUGAAAUCCCCGGGCUCAACCUGGGCACUGCAGUUAGAACUGGCAAGCUAGAGUAGGGUAGAGGGGUGUGGAAUUCCAGGUGUAGCGGUGAAAUGCGUAGAUAUCUGGAGGAAUACCGGUGGCGAAGGCGGCAUCCUGGAUCGGCAUUGACGCUGAGGAGCGAAAGCUAGGGGAGCAAACGGG